UACGUAGGGUGCAAGCGUUGUCCGGAAUCAUUGGGCGUAAAGCGCGCGUAGGUGGUCAUGUAAGUCCGCUGUGAAAGUCAAAGGCUCAACCUUUGAAAGCCGGUGGAUACUGCAUGACUAGAGUACGGAAGAGGCGAGUGGAAUUCCUGGUGUAGCGGUGGAAUGCGCAGAUAUCAGGAGGAACACCAAUAGCGAAGGCAGCUCGCUGGGACGUUACUGACACUGUGGCGCGAAAGCGUGGGGAGCGAACAGG
This 253-nucleotide ribosomal RNA is filed under the name uncultured bacterium. RNAcentral describes it as "partial 16S ribosomal RNA". It matches the Rfam family "Bacterial small subunit ribosomal RNA", at positions 524 to 776 of the family's 1533-position model. The record is from RNAcentral.